UACGGGGGGGGCAAGCGUUGUUCGGAAUUACUGGGCGUAAAGGGCGCGUAGGCGGCAAGGCAAGUCAGGUGUGAAAGCCCCGAGCUUAACUCGGGAAUUGCAUCUGAAACUGCUGUGCUUGAGUUCUGGAGGGGGUAGUGGAAUUCCCAGUGUAGCGGUGAAAUGCGUAGAUAUCGGGAGGAACACCAGUGGCGAAGGCGACUACCUGGCCUGUUCUUGACGCUGAGGCGCGAAAGCUAGGGGAGCAAACGGG
RNAcentral lists this ribosomal RNA (253 nucleotides) under uncultured bacterium. RNAcentral describes it as "partial 16S ribosomal RNA". It matches the Rfam family "Bacterial small subunit ribosomal RNA", at positions 524 to 776 of the family's 1533-position model. The record is from RNAcentral.